RNAcentral lists this ribosomal RNA (119 nucleotides) under Sphaeramia orbicularis (orbiculate cardinalfish). Lineage: Eukaryota; Metazoa; Chordata; Actinopteri; Kurtiformes; Apogonidae. The record is from RNAcentral.
GCUUACGGCCAUACCACCCUGAACACGCCUGAUCUUGUCUGAUCUCGGAAGCAAAAGAUGGUUGGGCUUGGUCAGUACUUGGAUAGGAGACUUCCUAGGAAUACCAGGUGCUGUAAGCU